This is a small nuclear RNA of Cavia porcellus (domestic guinea pig), 108 nucleotides long. NCBI's taxonomy places the organism in Eukaryota, Metazoa, Chordata, Mammalia, Rodentia, Caviidae. The record is from Ensembl.
GUGCUUGCUUCAGUAGCACAUACACUGCUAUUGGAAUGAUACAGAGAAAAUUAUCAUGGACCUUGCAGAAAGGUGACACAUUGUCCUUCAACCUUGCUUCUAAUGUCU